RNAcentral lists this small RNA (211 nucleotides) under Streptomyces clavuligerus. Its description in RNAcentral is "c-di-AMP sequence". It matches the Rfam family "c-di-AMP riboswitch aptamer (ydaO/yuaA leader)". From Rfam's summary of the family: This family represents a conserved RNA structure found upstream of the ydaO and yuaA genes in Bacillus subtilis and related genes in other bacteria. The ydaO/yuaA element is thought to act as a genetic "off" switch for the ydaO and yuaA genes in its native state. It is believed that the element may be triggered during osmotic shock leading to activation of ydaO, a predicted amino acid transporter gene, and members of the yuaA-yubG operon which code for KtrA and KtrB K+ transporters. Lineage: Bacteria; Bacillati; Actinomycetota; Actinomycetes; Kitasatosporales; Streptomycetaceae. The record is from RNAcentral.
ACGCGCAGAGCGCCGAAGGCAGGAGCGGGGGACCCAAGGUAAGCGCCGGUCCCGGUCGCUGACGGACGGUUCGGUGCACGAGGAGUGCGCCGGAACCGGACGCCGGUGGGCCGACCGGCUUGGGGUGGAGCCGCGCGCAAGGACGCGCGGCCGGGCAACUCACACGGCCCGAACCCGACAGCUCACCUCGUAGGCGUCGGUGAGGAGACCU